AGCGAACGCUGGCGGCAGGCCUAACACAUGCAAGUCGAACGGAUCCUUCGGGAUUAGUGGCGGACGGGUGAGGAACACGUGGGAACGUGCCUUUUGGUUCGGAACAACUCAGGGAAACUUGAGCUAAUACCGGAUGUGCCCUUCGGGGGAAAGAUUUAUCGCCAUUAGAGCGGCCCGCGUCUGAUUAGCUAGUUGGUGGGGUAAAGGCUCACCAAGGCUACGAUCAGUAGCUGGUCUGAGAGGAUGAUCAGCCACACUGGGACUGAGACACGGCCCAGACUCCUACGGGAGGCAGCAGUGGGGAAUCUUGCGCAAUGGGCGAAAGCCUGACGCAGCCAUGCCGCGUGAAUGAUGAAGGUCUUAGGAUUGUAAAAUUCUUUUACCCGGGAUGAUAAUGACAGUACCGGGAGAAUAAGCCCCGGCUAACUCCGUGCCAGCAGCCGCGGUAAU
RNAcentral lists this ribosomal RNA (450 nucleotides) under uncultured bacterium. RNAcentral describes it as "bacterial SSU rRNA". It matches the Rfam family "Bacterial small subunit ribosomal RNA", at positions 29 to 524 of the family's 1533-position model. The record is from RNAcentral.